UACGAAGGGUGCAAGCGUUACUCGGAAUUACUGGGCGUAAAGCGUGCGUAGGCGGUUCGUUAAGUCUGAUGUGAAAGCCCUGGGCUCAACCUGGGAAUGGCAUUGGAAACUGGCGAGCUAGAGUGCGGUAGAGGGUAGUGGAAUUCCCGGUGUAGCGGUGAAAUGCGCAGAUAUCGGGAGGAACACCAAUGGCGAAGGCAGCUCGCUGGGCCGGGACUGACGCUGAGACGCGAAAGCGUGGGGAGCAAACAGG
This 253-nucleotide ribosomal RNA is filed under the name uncultured bacterium. RNAcentral describes it as "partial 16S ribosomal RNA". It matches the Rfam family "Bacterial small subunit ribosomal RNA", at positions 524 to 776 of the family's 1533-position model. The record is from RNAcentral.